CAAGAUAACGCCACUAUAAACACUUGUCUGCUCCAUAACGGGCUUGGGUCGACCAUCAGGCCUCACUAAGAAGCCGACCGGCGCCACAGAACGAAACGUAAAAAAAGAAAAAGGGCAGAAACAAAACAAAAUCUUGCCUUUCCUCCCUUCCCUGCACACACACACACACACACACACACACACACACACACACACACACACACACACACUCACAUAGCACACCACACACACUUCCACCACACACACCACCGCCAGGACAGGGAAUAAGAGGCUGUAAGUUCACCUAUCAUUUAUUUGUGUCUCUUCUACACAUAUAUAAACCAGCGCCACACACACGCCCGCCGGAAAGGUUGGUUCGUCUUCAGCCUGUGUGGCUCUCGCUCUCUCUUUCUACACCAGGAAUGACUUGUUAUACACCUCAAGUUAUUUGGUAGUUAUGAUUGUUAGUGUUGUUAUUCUUCUUCUUGUUCUUGUUUUAGUUCUUGUUCUUGUUUUCCUUCUUCUACUUCUUCUUCUUCUUCUUCUUCUUCUUCUUCUUGUUUUUAUAUUUUCAUUGUUGUUGUUUUUGGAUUCUCUCCGUUGUCGUUUUAUCACAUUUUUCGGCCCUUUUCUCUCUUUCACACUCAUCGCUUUUCCUUAUGACUUCCUGCCUUGUGACCUCUUAUCUACCUCUCCUCUUCUUCUCUUGAUAAUUCCUCAUGUUAUUUUCUUUCCAUAUGUACUAUUUCCUACUUUCCUUAUCACUCACCAUCUCAAUAACCUUUCAAAGUCCAUAUUUUCUAUUUUGCAUUAACUAACUUUCAUCUAAACAUAUUUUUAUUAUCAUUAUUAUUUAUACAUAGUUUCGACACCUGACGAGCUUGGCGAAAUUAAAGUUUUUUUUGUGACAUUCUAUUAAUAAAGUGAAGCUUCCCAAACAUGUGUGCACAGCGUUGCUUGCUUCAGUUAUGGAUAUAAGAGUAAGUCGAUUGUCGGCAUUUAGAUGUGUGUGUGUGUGUGUGUGUGUGUGUGUGUGUGUGUGUGUGUGUGUGUGUGUGUGUGUGUGUGUGUGUGUGUGUGUGUGUGUGGAGGGUCGUCCCUAUGCGAGCCACGAGGGAAUGGACGAGAUCAAGUAAUUUCCAGCCUCGUGUGAAGAAAAUGGAAAGAGGAGUAGGAGUAGGAGGAGGAGGAGGAGGAGGAGGACGUGAACGAAACUAAAACCAGAAGAGGAGGAUUCGUAAAAAAAAAGUGAAAGUGGAAAAGGAGGAGUAGGUAUGGUGCGCAGGUGAGGUAGAUAAAGGUAGGGCUUGACAGGUAAAGUGGGUUUUAGGGGGCUCUUUCCAAUAAGGUGAGAGGUAUUCGAUAUAGGUGAAAGACAUGAGAGAAACUAAAAGAAGGAUGGAUUUUGGUGAUUCACUUCGUCUUAAAAGAGAGGCAAAAUACAGAUGAGGGAAACAGACUUAAGAGUAGACGACUAAACAGUGAGUGUCUGGUGAGUUAACUGUUAUAGAGGCAGACAAGAGCUAAGAGAAGAUGGCGCCACUAUAAACACUUGCCUGCGCCAUACCCCUAAAGAGAGCCUACCGGCGCUAUAGGCGUACACGUAAAAAGAAAAAAGACAAUGAAAGGUAAAGAGAAAGGAGAAAAGUUGAAGUGACAGGCAAUGAGUGCAGACUAAGCUCUUUAAAUAAACAGCCAGACCGAAUGUGUGUGUGAAAGGAACAGACAGAAGAUGGCCUGACAAGCGAUCUAUUCCGUCUUUUUAUUCAGUACACAGCGUAGAAUCACCCUUAGGUAGACAGACAAAGCAUAUAUAAGUAAAAAAUAACAAUAGACAGGUUUACAGUGCUUGGCGGCUAUCGGCCAUACACAGGUGAACCUUAAUUGAACAGGUGUGAGUCGAUAGGUAUUAUAUGUAGGUCACAGGUAAGACUGGGCAUCCGUUUGUCGUGACCUGUGGUUCGUGUUGGUGUCCGUGGAAUGGUUUUUCGUGUGCAACAAUUUUUUUUUUUUUUUUAAGUUAAGGUCAGCAGGCUAAACUUUUUUUUAAGAUCAACAUACUGAACUUUUGAGUAUUUCUUUCCGGCCAACAUACUGAACUUUGGAAUAUUUUUUUAAAGGUCAACAUACUAAACUUUUGAGUAUUUUUUUAAAGGUCAACUUACUAAACUUUUGAGUAUUUCUUUAAAGGCCAACAUACUAAACUUUUGAGUAUUUUUUAAAGGUCAACUUACUAAACUUUUGAGUAUUUCUUUCCGGCCAACAUACUGAACUUUGGAGUAUUUUUUAAAGGUCAACUUACUAAACUUUUGAGUAUUUCUUUAAAGGCCAACACACCAAACUUUUGAGACUGGGUCGGUAUGACAGAGCAGAGAAGCGUUAAUUGCAAUCCCUUCCAUAACCAUUGCCACGGUAGUAUCAAUGGGUAUUUAAACAACCCAUUUCCAACAUGAUCCACUCUGCACUUACACGGAUCACACCAACACGGAUCACGAGCGGUGGAUUACUACUACUUACACUAUUACUACCAUACUAUUACUUCCGAAUGCCCGGCCUUUACAAAUCGACUCGCUCGGGUAUAUAAAUGAGGUGUUGGCUUACGAAGAGCAGAUUUCAUGAAUAGAGAAAGUGUUGGUAGGAUUUUAUUGUACACACUCGCGCACCUUCUCAACAACCACGUCAUGAAGUCUCACGAAUCCACACGUAACAAGGAUAAGGAGAAAAAAUGUUACGAAGAGGGGAAUGGAGAGUAAAGGAGGAGAGAGGAGAAGGGAAACAGAGAGCGAGAGACAGGAAAUAUGAAAUGGAGGAAACAAACUGAGAGAGAGAGAGAGAGAGAGAGAGAGAGAGAGAGAGAGAGAGAGAGAGAGAGAGCGAGAGAGAGAGAGAGAGAGAGAGAGAGAGAGAGAGAGAGAGAGUUAUUACGGUCUGGCAAAUAGCUAACAUUACCAUUCAUCACUUUUCCCGCCACUGACCUGCUGCUGGUGGUGGUUAGAGAGAGAGAGAGAGAGAGAGAGAGAGAGAGAGAGAGAGAGAGAGAGAGAGAGAGAGAGAGAGAGAGAGAGAGAGAGAGAGAGAGAGAGAGAGAGAGAGAGAGAGAGAGAGAGAGAGAGAGAGAUUGUUUUUCUUCUUUGUUUUUCUAUCCGCCUGUGAUUAUAAAACUGGCCUAGUCUGCAAUCCUCGUAGUAGUGGUGGUGGUAGUGGUGGUUCUUGGUUGCGAGUGAGGGGACGUUGAGGGGAAGUGAAGGGGAAGAAGAAUGGGGAAGAGGGGAAGUGAAGGGAAGGGAAGAAGAGCUUAGAGGACGAAGAGGGAGAAAGAUUAAGAAGUGUCGAGGAAGAAUGAAAGAAAGAAAACGUGCAAAUAGGCGAAGGGGUGCUGAGAGAGAGAGAGAGAGAGAGAGAGAGAGAGAGAGAGAGAGAGAGAGAGAGAGAGAGAGAGAGAGAGAGAGAGAGAGAGAGAGAGAGAGAGAGAGAGAGAGAGAGAGAGAGAGAGAGAGAGAGAGAU
Long non-coding RNA from Eriocheir sinensis (Chinese mitten crab), 3484 nucleotides. RefSeq lists it as uncharacterized. The record is from RefSeq and is a predicted model, not a curated record. The transcript is spliced from 2 exons. Lineage: Eukaryota; Metazoa; Arthropoda; Malacostraca; Decapoda; Varunidae.